RNAcentral lists this ribosomal RNA (691 nucleotides) under uncultured archaeon. RNAcentral's name for it is "bacterial SSU rRNA". It matches the Rfam family "Archaeal small subunit ribosomal RNA", at positions 102 to 793 of the family's 1478-position model. The record is from RNAcentral.
GGAUAACCUACCCUUAGGACUGGGAUAACCCUGGGAAACUGGGGCUAAUACCGGAUAGGCAAUUAUUCCUGCAAUGGUUUUUUGUUUAAAUGUUUUUUCGCCUAAGGAUGAGUCUGCGGCCGAUUAGGUAGUUGGUUAGGUAAUGGCUUACCAAGCCGUUGAUCGGUACGGGUUGUGAGAGCAAGAGCCCGGAGAUGGAACCUGAGACAAGGUUCCAGGCCCUACGGGGUGCAGCAGGCGCGAAACCUCCGCAAUGUGAGAAAUCGCGACGGGGGGAUCCCAAGUGCCAUUCUUAACGGGAUGGCUUUUCAUUAGUGUAAAGAGCUUUUGGAAUAAGAGCUGGGCAAGACCGGUGCCAGCCGCCGCGGUAACACCGGCAGCUCUAGUGGUAACAAUUUUUAUUGGGCCUAAAGCGUCCGUAGCCGGUUUAAUAAGUCUCUGGUGAAAUCCUGUAGCUUAACUGUGGGAAUUGCUGGAGAUACUAUUAGACUUGAGACCGGGAGAGGUUAGAGGUACUCCCAGGGUAGAGGUGAAAUUCUGUAAUCCUGGGAGGACCGCCUGUUGCGAAGGCGUCUAACUGGAACGGUUCUGACGGUGAGGGACGAAAGUUAGGGGCGCGAACCGGAUUAGAUACCCGGGUAGUCCUAACUGUAAACGAUGCGGACUUGGUGUUGGGGUGGCUUUGAGCUGC